This is a long non-coding RNA of Anopheles darlingi, 1119 nucleotides long. RefSeq lists it as uncharacterized. The transcript has 3 exons. Lineage: Eukaryota; Metazoa; Arthropoda; Insecta; Diptera; Culicidae. The record is from RefSeq and is a predicted model, not a curated record.
AAGGCCGCACGAACGAGCGAUUAACGAAAACGCGAAAGAUAACGACUCGGUUCGGCGGCGGCCGUAUUAUUUCUUCGCUGUAAACCGCGUCCUUCUCUCCCGGUGGCGGCCAGAUUUAACGGUAGAAAAGCGUGCCGGAACGUGCUUCCCUCGGGCGCCCGCAGUUCGCGUGUUCUUCCUACUCCCCAGAAAAAGUGCGAGCAGAAGACGACGGUGCGUGAUGUGUUGUGUGUGAAAUCGUUUGCGGAAGAAGGACCAGGAGGGUGGAAGUAUGGUAGUGGCGCAGAGCGAACGCAUUUCCUGGCAUUCCGGUGCAUGGUUCUUCCGGGGUGCACCCGCUUCGACGGUCGCAAAAGCGUGAGAAAAGCGGGUUUCUGAUUGCGGGGCAGCGACGCAACGUUUUGAAGAAUCGAGUCACCGUACCAGAACGGAAUCAUGGACACGGCAAACCGGAACCAUCGUUGCCCUCUUCGUCGUCGUCGUCGCGUCAACCGUGCGUAGGUUGUGCGGCCAGUCCUUAACGAGAACCGCGUCGGCGAGUCGGGUAGCCAUAAAAGUUGCUGCUGUUGCUGUGGCUGCGAAUGUGUCGUCGUUCACCGUCGUCGCCGUCGCCGUGAUCAAGUGUAAUUCUGCUUCUGGUGCCGUUCCAGUCGGUGGCGUCGAUCGGGUCCGGGGGGUCACAGGCCAUCGCUCAGAACCACCCAAGGAUCGCGAGCGCGCGCGUGCUUCGUGCACAGCACUUUCAACGGGCACAAUCAACGGCAUUGUAUCGGGGGAUGCGAUUGUGCUGCUUGUUCUAGGGAACGGUUGCGUAGAAACGAUUCGCUCGCGGAAACGACUGGAACAUUCCCGGGGAACAGAUCUUCCUCAAAACGGGCAUCAUUCGCGAAAGUGGACACUUCCUAAACGGUUCUCCUUCAUCCUAAGGUCAACCGAUUGGCUAAAUCUUUCCAAACGAGAAAAACAAUCAACAAAUACAUACUGAAGUGGCGAAUACAGUCCGGAUCAUCCUCUGCCUACCUUAACGAGAUUAUAAUCAUAUUGAGCUUCUGACAGGAGUGAUUCAACUUUAUUUUCGACUAUCAAUCUACAAAAACCUGCAUGGAAAUCGAUUUAAAG